Molecule: transfer RNA, 72 nt
Filed under: Camelus bactrianus (Bactrian camel)
Lineage: Eukaryota; Metazoa; Chordata; Mammalia; Artiodactyla; Camelidae
Also listed under: 1 other name
Rfam family: tRNA
About the family: Transfer RNA (tRNA) molecules are approximately 80 nucleotides in length.
Source: Rfam by way of RNAcentral
GAGGGUAGAGCUCAGUGGUAGAGCACACGCUUAGCAGGUACAAAGUCCUGGGUUCAACCCCCAGUACCUCCA